This 77-nucleotide transfer RNA is filed under the name Methylobacter tundripaludum. Its description in RNAcentral is "tRNA-Asp". It matches the Rfam family "tRNA". From Rfam's summary of the family: Transfer RNA (tRNA) molecules are approximately 80 nucleotides in length. Their secondary structure includes four short double-helical elements and three loops (D, anti-codon, and T loops). Lineage: Bacteria; Pseudomonadati; Pseudomonadota; Gammaproteobacteria; Methylococcales; Methylococcaceae. RNAcentral also lists the same sequence under 14 other names. The record is from RNAcentral.
GGAGUGGUAGUUCAGUUGGUUAGAAUACCGGCCUGUCACGCCGGUGGUCGCGGGUUCGAGCCCCGUCCACUCCGCCA